ACUAUCUUUAAGUGGGCUCCCACUGACGUUAUUGGUAUCCUGUGGUGAGAGAAUAGGGCCAAUAUUUUUAGAUUUGUAUACGUUAGCUAUUUUCUGGAGUUGUUACAACACUAGUAUAUUUUUAGUGGUUCAUUAUAUUAAGUCGAAGAGCCUUUGCGUUGUGUUGUGUCAUACGCAGCGUGCGAACUUCCUGGAGCUCAUCUGUUCCUUUGAUCCUACCAGCCACAAUAGCAGCAGAACUAACUCAUCGUCCACGACUAUUUCUUCCUUAAUAGGAGCUCUCCAGUGAAAGAAGAGCUGAAGAAGAGCACCUCUUUAUACUUGGAGCAAAAAUUGGUGGCAUCUGAAGUAAUGCAACACACUAAACUACAGUGCACAGACAGGAGGGCAGUAAGUUACCCUGGUUCAAAGCAUGUUUAAGAUAACAUUUUGGUUGGCUUGCAACAGCCGCGCUGUGGAAGCUCACAAGCUAAGAAAGGCUGGGCCUCAUUAAUGCUUGGAUGGGAGAUCUCCAGACAGCAUUAAGAUUUAUUUCAGAAAGUUGCAUUAGUGACUUCUUAGCUGGCACUUGGAAUUGGUGCUGUCUCAGUGUUUAGCAUGUUUAUAGGGGUAGAAUAUUGCAAGAGAGAAACAGCUGUAUUUUCAACUACUUUGCACAGUCUUUACUUCAGCAUAAAAAAGUCAGAUCCAGCAGAUAAAAGCGAGUGUUUUAGCACUAAAAAUGCACUGUUGCUAGUUGUAAGUAUAGAGGAAGUUUAACUGUAGCGUUCUUGGCCAAGCCUCUGCUUGGGUUCUUUCUGCCCAUGAGUGCAGUUUCACACGGGGCUUGAGUCAAUCUAAAAGCACAUCGCUACUGUGACAGGAGCGGACCUGCUCUCCUCCACCACUUCCAGGCACAUAGUCCUCACUCUGGCCUGCUCUGCCUGAAAGGCAACCCUACAAAACACCGAGGUGAUGCAGAAGUGACCAGACGGAUCAAUGAGGUGAUGCAGCUGCAUGAUUUAAGGAUGCCAGCACAGGGGACGUGGUGGGGACCCAUGGCUGGGAGCAAGGCAGGGCUGUUCUACUGGUCACCCUCAAACAGUCUCAGGUGACUGCUAAAGUGGUACCCUGCAAUCCCUCAGUGGUUUUGUUUUGAGAAGACAUUCUGCUCAUCCUGUCCCAGGCCUUUCUGUGCAGGGUUAUUUCCAUCAGCUGCCGCAUCCCUCAAAGGAUGGCUGCUGAGAGAAUGAGUGACAGGGCUUCAUUUAUCUUCCAUGCAAAGGGUGCUGGCCUUCCACAAAAUAAAAGACCUAAAAUUUUCAACUGCCUUGGUUUCCACAGAAUCCAAAUCCACUGAGAGUAGAGCUCUCUUAAAAAUCUCCUGCAGUCUCUCCAAAGGCACCGCAGAGAGUACGUGAGGCCCUGGUCGCAAUAUAGCAACUUCAACAAAAGGGAGGAAGAGAAACCAGAACUGUGCACCAGCCAGUGAUGGGAAUGGAAACAUCUCUCUGUCCUUCCAAAUGUAAUCUCCAGACCAGCUUUCCCUCACGCUGCUCUUUCAAGCAGCGAUAGGUUGGAAAGCAUUUCACAGCUUCAACUGUUUUUUCUAUGCACAGGAGAGAUUCCUGGUCUCAGCUGUGUAAAUGUUUUAACUGAGAUUCAUGCUUGGCUAUUCAGGUCAUUGCUUUCUCUUCCGGCCCACACAGGCCAAAAUGCAUCUAUAUAAGCAUAAAGUGUCCAAAAUCAACACAGUAUUUUUCACUUGAACACACCCAUGGCACGUGGCUCACUCAGAGUACAGGGUACAAUGCCAAGCAGUAGAUUUGUAUAUUUGCCUGAUACGAACUUAGCAUGAUUUAUAAAAAAAGAUGCAAUAGCUCUGUUGUGUGCCUUUGCAAAUCUGACUUGGCAGAAACCCUUUUCAAAGAAGGAACCCGAGGAAACCAAACUCUCCCUUCUGUCUUAAGAAAGGACUAAUCUUACGUAGGAAGUGUUCUCAAGAUAUGUAAUAAUUUAUAUUCAGAAUUACAAUGUAUUUCUUUCUGAAUUUAAGUAACCCUCUAGCUCCUUUACUGGAAGAAUAAAAUAAUUUUCCUUCCCCUGUUUUGACUUUAUUGUAUAAGGGGUUUAGGGACGCCUUGAAACUAACAGCAGUUAACUGAUUAAAACGCUUUUAGUUAUAGAAAGACCUAGGUAGCUCUAGAGACACGUUUAGUCAAUGCAAAAAUGUGCAGGGAUUGUGUUCCCACAUAUUCUCACUCUGCCUGCAACUCUUUGCAAUGGCAAGCGAAGAUAACAAAACCCAAGGCACACCCUCUUAUGGCGCCAAGACUCUCCUUUUGUGACGCUUCCCUAGAGGUUUCUCUCAAAAUUCAGUGUAAUCAUAAACCCAGGAACUUGAGAACUAUUUUUACUAAAUUUAAUGAGGAGGUCAUGAGGUUUUUUGUGAUCCAAACUUGAGGUCCUUCUGAACUCACUGCCGAGGUAUUUUGCUGUUUGACAUGUCCCCUAUGGGGUGAAAGUGGCCAUGUUCUCAGCACCCAGGAACUGGUUUUGGUAUUUCAGUAGAUAAUUCACUGCCACAUAUACUUAUCCUUGUUGCUGGAGACUGCAAGGCUACCUGAUUGUUGGGCACCCAGAGAAGGGCUCCCAAACAAAUGUUCACGAGGCCACCGUUUGCAGCUGGUUUGGCUCGUGGGUUUCCCACACCUCUGGGCUCACAGACACUUGCCUGCUGGCAUGUACAAGGAAGCCAGAAGGCUUUGCUACUGUCUGAGAGUCCUUGAGAAAUAAAACUCGAUAGCUCUGGCCUUGGUAUAGGUGCAUUUAUCAUCUUAAGUCGAAAAGAAUACGUAUGUAAUAAAAAUAACAUAGUUCUUCUGCAGUUGGUCUUGCAAAACAGGAGGAGGAGGGCUUCCAUCUUUCCCUAAACUUGGGAAAACAACAAAAAAAAUGAAGGGUCUAAUGCUGAGAGGUCAAUGCAGCUGUCUUAAACCAUCUCCAUUUGCAUAUCAUUGUCACUGUCACCAUUGUCACAAACUCCCCCUUCUCUUUGCCAGCUGCAGUCUAUGGAAGGAGGUGCUGCCUAUGAGCCUUACCACACAAGGACCAUCAACAUGUCUUGCCUACAGCAAAGGAAUGCUCUAACCACUAAGCUAUUUGAUAAGCUUCACAUUUUCUUUUUCCAGCUUUGUAAAUCUAUAUGCCUAUUCUGUCAUGAGUUUUCUCACUUCUAGUCAUCCGAUUGUCUCCUCCAUCUCACCAGGGGGAAGUGAGUGAACGGCUGUGUGGGACUUAGCUGCCGGCUGGGGUUAAACCACGACAUACUUCUUUCCAACAGCAUUUAUCUCCGCAGAUUUGGAUCAAAGUUGGCAAUAGUUCUGGGACAACAAAGCUGCCAUUUCUGGUAAAUCGGUUUUGGCAGAGAAAAAAAAACCAAGUAUUUUUCUGCUUUUGUUCAGGGCAAAGUUGCUUUGGCAUCUGGAUAGCCCGAACUGCGAAUGCAUUUGUGUACAUCACUGUAAGUAAACAAACUUCCCGCAAGAGGUAGAAUAACAUUUAUUUGUGCUGAAAAAUCCUUAAUUGAUCUAUUCCUCAAGGACAUGGUUGCUUACUGUGUGCCUUACCAGCUGCAUUCAUUACAAGUAGCUAUGCCUGCUUCAGAUGUCACUAAAGGCAAGUGUUUCACAUAACGGGCCAAUUUAAAAGGUGGCUUCCAGAAGACAAAAGUUAAAACAAUGCAGAAGUUGAAAAUAUUUUUCCCCUAAAUUUCUUUUCUCCCUACAAAAUGAAUAAAGUUUUUAUGCUGACAUUUUAGGGCAACUUUCAUAUUGCCUCAACCCCUUCAAUUAAAAUCUGCCUCAAUGUCUACAAUUCACUAUGGAUUUGUAACAAGAUGGCCUUAACGCUGGGAUAGUUUCAAAGUCAUAUACCAGUGCAGAUUACCAGACUGAAUGAAAAAUACACUAUGUUUCAACUCAAGGUUGAGAUAUAGAAGGGGAAGCUUGUGUUGGUGAAACAUGAAUCAUUGUAGGGCCAGAUAUUGUAUUGUACUCUAAUUCCUCAAAUUCCACUUAUUUCCACUUGAUUGCUUUUUUUUAACCUCACAGAGGCACCAGUUGCCACCUCUGCUCCAGAAAGGUGUAGUACCAGGACAAUAUGGAAUAGCUACAGGACAGUUUAGAGCUAUACAGUUAAGUCCCUUUCGCUAUUUUGGCUAGCUUAAGGGAAAGCAAUAAAGCCACCCAACGAUGCAUAAAGCAGAGCCCAGCUUGAAUGAACAGGAUCAUUUUCAUAGGCCAGUUUGCCUCUGUGAAGACCUGAAUAGGCAUGCUACCUGUGUAUCCAGAACUAGUUACAGAAGGGUUAGAAGAAGGGAAAAAAACGCAAGAGGUGGAAGCAGCUGUUUGUUGAUGUUCUUACCUGGCACUAGGA
This is a long non-coding RNA of Harpia harpyja (harpy eagle), 4416 nucleotides long. RefSeq lists it as uncharacterized. The record is from RefSeq and is a predicted model, not a curated record. The transcript has 3 exons. Lineage: Eukaryota; Metazoa; Chordata; Aves; Accipitriformes; Accipitridae.